GAGCGGAGCUGCGCGGGAGCGGGCCCGGCGGGCUCUGGGCCUGUGCGUGCAGCGAGCCUGUGUGAGCAGCCCCUGCCUUUCCCCCCGCUCCUCUGCUSCGGCCUUGCCUUUGGAUUGUGCUUCCAGUGAUGACUCUUUAACCCCCACUCUCUCCACAGGCAUCCAGCUCUUCCCGUUAAACCGAGCGUUUGGCGUGAUGUAGGGUGCAUUAGGGCUAAGGAAGCCAGCACCYAUAAGAAGAGACAGCCCUAACAUCAUAUGAAAGUGCCUCUGCUGGUGAUAUUUGAGUCAAAUGGGCACCCUCUGCAUGGACAGGUCUUCCAUCUAUUGUGUGAACCCUCCAGCCCAGCCAUGAAAGCCAAGUGGAAAACACAGUACCAGCUACUUCCAGAUGGUUUUCCAGAACAAGCACAGAUCUGGUAUGGACAAAAGUGCCUCUACUGCAUAAACCAGGUUUCCUCAUGCAUAGUUUUGUGGAAUUUAAGGAAAUUGAA
This is a long non-coding RNA of Malurus melanocephalus (red-backed fairy wren), 494 nucleotides long. RefSeq lists it as uncharacterized. The record is from RefSeq and is a predicted model, not a curated record. NCBI's taxonomy places the organism in Eukaryota, Metazoa, Chordata, Aves, Passeriformes, Maluridae. The transcript has 3 exons.